ACGCGCGCCUCCAGGAGAGACGCCUCCUUCUUAAGUCCCCGGCCCCUCCCGCCAACGGUCACCGGGAUUCCUGGAAGAGACGGGGAUUUGGGGGAAACGGAGAGGGUUCUGCGAGGAGACGGGACCAGUGAGACAGGCAGGACCGGGUGGAGGCGUCUCUACGAGCAGGAGGGCAAGGAAGAUGGGGCAAGACGCGGGGAGGCUGCAGAGGAGGAGCAGGGUGGGGUUUGGAGAGAAUGGAGCCUGCAGAAAGGAGCGGCAGAAACUGGCGCUGGAAGGCUCAAAAAAGGGGCCCUGGAAAGGACGGAGCGGGGACAGGAAAGGGAAUUCCAAGGGGCAGGAGGAGCUGGGCAGAGGAGCCCGUGUAAACACAGAGUGGCCCAUGCCCAGGAUGAGGGACUGGAAGGAGAGAAGAGGACCGUCGAGGGAAGAGGCUCACAAGUCCCUGGGAAGACAGGGCAUGGGCUUACAGAGAGGAGAGGGGGUACGGGCAGUGGCUGCUCGUGUCCUCUGCCACCCCUGCCCACUGUCCAGGGGACUUCAACACAACCGAGGGGACAGGUUUGUGUGGGGUCAGGUCUGACAGAAGAGGAGCAGGAGAAACAAAUCGUUAAAACCUAGCGAAUUCCCCUAAGAAAACAUUUCUUCCUCCUUUCCUUCUGGAGGCUCCUUGGUUGGUAGGGAAAUAGGAGUUGGUGGGAAAAGAGGGGGGAGAGGAGCUUGUACCAAGGGACUCUACUCCAUUCUCCCCUCUCCCCCGCAACCAACUUGGAGCUCACCAGGGUUGGGAGGGAAGUGGCUGAGAGCUCACAGGCACCCCCUCCGCCCCCGAGAGGGAGCCCACAGCUGUGGGAGGGGCUGCUACUGCUGCCGCUGCUGCCGCUGCCGCCGCUGCCGCUGCCGCCGCCAUUGGACAAACCUCACCAGUACCUGCACAGGAGAAACACCACGGAUCACAGCGCGAUCUGAAUGGCAAGAGCCUUGCCCUCACCCCACACCUUCCCAGCCUGCUUCCCCUGGGACACAGCCGUUGCUCACUUCCUAUCUGGACCCCAGAGGCCUCAGCCUGCAUCCUCACCCAGACAGAGCAGUUCUCAAGGAUCCUCCCUGUGCC
Molecule: long non-coding RNA, 1114 nt
Filed under: Homo sapiens (human)
Lineage: Eukaryota; Metazoa; Chordata; Mammalia; Primates; Hominidae
Description: non-protein coding lnc-CDIPT-1:5
Source: RNAcentral